Gasterosteus aculeatus aculeatus (three-spined stickleback) is the source of this 3357-nucleotide long non-coding RNA. Lineage: Eukaryota; Metazoa; Chordata; Actinopteri; Perciformes; Gasterosteidae. The record is from Ensembl.
UACAGUUGCUUUGCUUCUUUUUAUUCAUUUCUUUAGGUCUCCAAUGUACAGCAGUGUUAUUGGAAGAUGACGAAAAAGGCACAAAUUCACAAUAAAAGAAAAGAAAAAACGGGAGACAAGUUAACAGGGGUGACAGAGAGCAAGAGAGAGACUUUUUAAAACAGUUUGGGGUGGUGGAAUCAUUUGGUUUCAUAUUCUGAUUAUAAAUUGAGGAAUCUAACAACAGAUACAGUAUCUAUGAGAUUCGCUCUGUUCUCUCACAGGUCUGUGGACCUGGUGUCAGCAUGUUUUCAACCACAUCUAAUCGUCUUUUUUUAAUUUUUUUUUUAUCACCGAGACUGACACAUCAGCUAAUUAUGUGGAUCAAUCAACUGACCCAGGCUGCCGUUACAUGUUCCUUUUCCGCGUAGAGAAGCGAGUGUAGUACGACAACACUCGGAACAAAAAUAUAUAUCUAUACACUGUCCUGCCAAUAAAACGUGGUCCCUGUGGGGGAGAAACAACGUGCGAAAGAGCGGAAAUAGCGAACGGGGUGUAAAUGUGUUUUUUUCCCCUCCAAUUACAAACCACACGCAGCUCUUCACUGCUUUGCUGCUACGCCCUAAAGACCUGCAGCAAGAUCAUCUUUAAUAUGUGAGUGUCUCUUUUUAAAUGUUUAUAGCUAUUUCUGAAUGUCUUGCCAGCAUUAAAGUUCAGCAAUCAAAACUCUACAACUCCUCACAAUAAAACCCAACUGGUACAGAGUGGUCUGUGACGGAGUAAGAGGAUGGAGUGUCAGGAGGGCGCGAUGGCGGUCUGGCAGGACAGUCUGAUCUAUAUAUAUAUAUAUGUGUUCAUCUAAAUUACUUUAUUUAGUAUUUACAAAGUCAAUACAUACAGUACAUCCACAAAUCUCCAUGAUUCAGUUGAUGGCCCCCCCGUCACAGACAGUGAGUGAGAUGCUGGAUGGACACACACAGAGGUGAAGGGUCGGACAUCCGGGUCCAGCGUUUUCUUUAAAAGGGGAGGCAACAGAAACGCAGUAACGAGAUUAAAAAAACUUGAUCCCACAUACAGAAAUAAAGGGAUAUGAAAUAAGUCACCCAAGAGGAAGCAGGUAUUAACUUCUAUGCUUAAACGGUUGCCAAUAAUGCCCUGAGCAGUUUAGUGGCCGUUUUUACGCCUUUGGUAUGCCUGGCAAGUCAAAUACAUUUUACAUGAAUUGGCUGAGAGAUGAUCGCACAAUAACGUUAGUAAAAUAUCAUCCUGUAAAAAGUAGUUUAAAUGCUUCUCACCUGUGUGCUAUAAUCACAAUUUAAGAGGCUGUGGAAGACUGGCGUAAAUGCUGCAAUGUACAGAAAAUCCACCACAAUUCGAUGAGCACCUCAGGGUGCUAUCACCAAUAUUUAAAGAUAUUAUAGCAAUCCUGUACACAAUCAUUAUCUGCUGUGCACUGUCAUGAUAAGAGUUUAGACUGAAUUUAGCAGAUUAUUAAUUCUUCUCCUGAUUUCUUUUCCAGACCGAGCUGCUCCAGACCGGACAACAAAUAACAAAUAAACAAAAUAAAAUAUUAGGCCAAUGCAGGCCUUUUAUUACAAGCUGGAAUUGAUACAGUCUUCGUUUGAAAAGCCCUUCGGUGGAACUGCUAUUCAUACUCUUCAACAUUCAAUCAAAAUGUGCGCGUGUGUGUGUGAUCCUCGUUCUGAUGGUUUCGUCAUUAUCCGUUGCUCGCUCUUUAAAGUUCCACGCGUCUAUAAGAUGGUGUGUGGGGAAGGUAAAUAGAGGACGGGUAGUAAGAGUAACUGAGGUCAAAGGAGGCCUAACAGACGUCACUCCACAGCUGUAUCACUUCCUCCCUUCUUCACCAGCCACCAUCAGAUCUUUUCAAAGACACUACUGUACGUCACUCGUGUACACUCAUGCGAAUACCGAAAAAAACACCAAUACACGUAACAGGCUUCAGAUUCAAGUAGGAGAGAAAUCUGCCUCAUCCAAAGGCAAACACAAUAAAGCCAGCAUUUAAUAAUUAGUUCAUCAACACCGAAACCAUCCUUGACCUUCAGCGUGAGCAUUACUGUUUCCCGCAUAGGAGCAAACAGUAGCGUAGGUUACAUUUGUGAUGAUAAAAGGGAACCCAACGUGUCAUGGUAGUUAUUGCUAUUGCUGGAUAAGACCAUUUAUCCACUGGAGGUGACGGAAUGGCUGACGGGGCAACAACUUAUGCAGAUCCCAUAACGUUUUACUUUCAAUGACUAAUGUAUCUAUCUACAGCAAGCGGCAGGAGCUGUGUAUUGAUGAAGGUUGCUAAUGUUUAAAUCACACAGUUUGCAGCUAAAAGGACGUGAAGACCCAUCUAUGGCCGGUCCAAUACGUGUGUCGCUUUGCACUUUUCUAUUGCACUAGCAUGUGUGUGUGUGUGUGUAUAUGUUUAAAUUACUGCACUCCCUACCAGUUGAAGCCGAUGAGCUUGAAAUGAUCUGGAGAGUGAAAAAUGAAAAACAUGGCUGGAAACCAUGAUGAGUUUACAACGCUACAGAACUACACACAGGUACACACACACACACACUCGCACACAGAAACUCGCAAAGCAGCAGAAAAGCCAAUGGAUGCCUCAACAUAUAAAGGAAGAUACUAUCUGGCAGGUCAGGAGUACAGUAGAAACAAAAUAACCCUCUUAGCAGCACAGCCUCAUCCUCACAGCUGUGGUUUAUAGAGUUGCACAUCGGUUUGAACAACGAGAGCAAACACUGCAUAUAGCAGGUCCCACAUGGAGAGUAGGAGGUAUGAUGACAAAUCCAAAAAUAAUAAUGAGAAUCACAGGAUCAUAACUGAACACUGAACAGAUAACGUGUUCUGAAAAAAAUUACAACAAACGUCCACAGACAAAAAUAUUUUUAAAAACCAUGUCCUUAUAUAUUUAUAUUUAUAUAUGUAUAUUUAUAAAUGUAAGUCUAUAUAUAUUUAAAUACAAUUAUUCAGCUCCCCAAUAUAUGGUAUACUGUCUAUAUACACCACUGGGUUAUCUGAGGCAAAUAAAUCCUAAAUUGCAGAGAUAAAUGACAACCUUCUCUGUAGUUUAGACACUGAGAGAGAAAAAGAGAAGACGGACUCAUCUAAAGUGCUACUGGAGGCCUCAGAGCACUUAAUAAGAUGGGGAAACAAUAUGGAUGGGGCUCAAGGGAGACGGGAUGUGGUGGUGGAGAUCAUCUGAAAACUGGGAUUUCACUGGGUCCAGGUCCCUAAAAAACAGAUUGUACCAGGGAUGAGGGUGGGGUGGGGUGGGGUGGGGGGUGGGGAUUUGGACCAGCCGGUCAGACGUUGCGGUAGUAGGUAAUAGACGUAGCAUGUGAAUCCGCUGGUAUCUGGGUAGUCUGGUCU